AUUGAACGCUGGCGGCAGGCUUAACACAUGCAAGUCGAGCGGGGUGAUGGUGCUUGCACUAUCACUUAGCGGCGGACGGGUGAGUAAUGCUUAGGAAUCUGCCUAUUAGUGGGGGACAACAUCUCGAAAGGGAUGCUAAUACCGCAUACGUCCUACGGGAGAAAGCAGGGGAUCACUUGUGACCUUGCGCUAAUAGAUGAGCCUAAGUCGGAUUAGCUAGUUGGUGGGGUAAAGGCCUACCAAGGAGACGAUCUGUAGCGGGUCUGAGAGGAUGAUCGGCCACACUGGGACUGAGGCACGGCCCAGACUCCUACGGGAGGCAGCAGUGGGGAAUGUUGGCCAAUGGGGGGAACCCUGAUCUAGCCAUGCCGCGUGUGUGAAGAAGGCCUUAUGGUUGUAAAGCACUUUAAGCGAGGAGGAGGCUCUUUUGGUUAAUACCCAAGAUGAGUGGACGUUACUCGCAGAAUAAGCACCGGCUAACUCUGUGCCAGCAGCCGCCGUAA
RNAcentral lists this ribosomal RNA (503 nucleotides) under uncultured bacterium. RNAcentral's name for it is "partial 16S ribosomal RNA". It matches the Rfam family "Bacterial small subunit ribosomal RNA", at positions 30 to 523 of the family's 1533-position model. The record is from RNAcentral.